This 496-nucleotide ribosomal RNA is filed under the name uncultured bacterium. RNAcentral describes it as "partial 16S ribosomal RNA". It matches the Rfam family "Bacterial small subunit ribosomal RNA", at positions 28 to 507 of the family's 1533-position model. The record is from RNAcentral.
GAUGAACGCUGGCGGCGUGCCUAAUACAUGCAAGUCGAGCGAACGGACGAGAAGCUUGCUUCUCUGAUGUUAGCGGCGGACGGGUGAGUAACACGUGGAUAACCUACCUAUAAGACUGGGAUAACUUCGGGAAACCGGAGCUAAUACCGGAUAAUAUUUUGAACCGCAUGGUUCAAAAGUGAAAGACGGUCUUGCUGUCACUUAUAGAUGGAUCCGCGCUGCAUUAGCUAGUUGGUAAGGUAACGGCUUACCAAGGCAACGAUGCAUAGCCGACCUGAGAGGGUGAUCGGCCACACUGGAACUGAGACACGGUCCAGCCUCCUACGGGAGGCAGCAGUAGGGAAUCUUCCGCAAUGGGCGAAAGCUGACGGGGCAACGCCGCGUGAGUGAUGAAGGUCUUCGGAUCGUAAAACUCUGUUAUUAGGGAAGAACAUAUGUGUAAGUAACUGUGCACAUCUUGACGGUACCUAAUCAGAAAGCCACGGCUAACUACGUG